UACGUAGGGGGCAAGCGUUGUCCGGAAUUAUUGGGCGUAAAGCGCGCGCAGGCGGCUUUGUAAGUUUGGUGUUUAAUCUCAGAGCUCAACUCUGAUUCGCAUCGAAAACUGCAAGGCUUGAGUGCAGAAGAGGAAAGUGGAAUUCCACGUGUAGCGGUGAAAUGCGUAGAGAUGUGGAGGAACACCAGUGGCGAAGGCGGUUCUCUGGGCAUGAUCUGACGCUGAGGAGCGAAAGUGUGGGGAGCGAACAGG
This 252-nucleotide ribosomal RNA is filed under the name uncultured bacterium. RNAcentral's name for it is "partial 16S ribosomal RNA". It matches the Rfam family "Bacterial small subunit ribosomal RNA", at positions 524 to 776 of the family's 1533-position model. The record is from RNAcentral.